AGGGAAUGCUCACUGCAGGACAGGGAAUGCUCACUGCAGGAACAGGGAAUACUCACUGCAGGGCCAGCACGGCCGGCACCGUCCCCUCCUUCCAUCCUCCGCUUCAGGCGAGGACCCGGCUGCUGCUGCCGCUCUGCCUCCUGCCCGCGCGCAGGCUGGGCAUGGUCCCGGCUGCAGGCACACCUGGGAAAGCUGAAGGUGUGUCCGUGGGCCAUAAAUACCUGUGCCUCGCAGCCAGAGGGCUCCGCGGGAGGGGGAAACCUGAGGCCGCAGCGGGAGCUGAGCGCUGCUGUCAGUGCCCGGCGCGGCUCUUCCUGCUCAGCCCCGGGACGGGCGGGAGCCACAAUCGGGGCCUUUGUGUGCCCCCGGGGCUGGCACGGCCCAGCACGGGCCCAGGUGAGGCUCUUUGAAAGAUCAAAUGACCAGAGGACAGUGGCAGCCUGCCCUUGUGGCAGCGGCAAUUCCCACAUUUCAACGGGAACUCGAUGCUGUUGGAGCCAGGUGCUGAUCCUGCUGUUCCUGGGCUGCACAGACACACCUGUGCCACCCUCAGAGGAAAAGGGAUAAGGGCUGUGCCACAAAGUCACCGCCACAGCCUGCACUGCUCUCACAGUCACCCGUGUCCUGUCCUGAGAACAUCCCUGUGCCAGCAAUGUUCCCUGAGCACCCAGAUCCCGAGCAGUCCAGGAGCCCCCAAAGUGUUCCAGACCUGCCAGCCAGACACAACAAAGGUGUGGAGGAAAGGAAAAGCCAAGAAUUCCUUCAUGUGAUGUCUAUCCAGGGAAAACGCAGGUUUUGGACAUUUUCCUAUCAAGCACAACCCAGGGCUGAACAAAGUGGCUGAAGGGAGCCCACAAGAAAGGAGAGGGACUUUGGCCAAGGGCAUGGGCAGGGCAAAGGGGAAUGCCAGAGGGUUAGAUUAGGUGUUGGAAAGAAACUCUUCCCUGUGAAGGUGGGCAGGCCCUGGCACAGGUGCCCAAAGCAGCUGGGGCAGCUCCUGGAUCCCCGGCAGUGCCCAGGGCCAGGCUGGACAGGGCUUGGAGCAGCCUGGAACAGUGGAAGGUGUCCCUGCCAUGGCAGGGGUGGCACUGGAUGGGCUUUGAGGUCUUUUCCCAAACCAUCCCUGACUCCCAGGAUUCCCAAGGCACAGCUGCACCACAGCUCACACAGACGAGACACCAGAGCGAGACAAGACUGGGGAGAGCAGGUUUGAGAGUUUAAUGGGAAUUCAAGUAGAGGAUUAAGAACUGUUUGGAAGUCAGAGAUUUGAAGCACGACUGAAGCACGCCACCAGCACAUUCCAGCAUCCCUGAGCCCAGGCAAGAGCCUUCAGCAGGGACAGAGCUGCCUGACGGAUGCUGGACUCUCUCCUGGCCUUUUCCUGACACAAAAAGCACCAGAAACAGAGACUGAAUCCAAACCCACACUGUUACAUCAGACAAGAGCUGCAGUGAGUCCAUAAUGUCCAUCUCCGUGUUACCCAGAUCAAGGGUAAGUUCUGCCUCUGGGACUUUGCAGAAGAGAUUAUCCACACUUCCUUCCACAACUCCAAAUUACAAACAAACAGCCUUUCAGAGGUUCAGCCAAAGCUCUGGGAACACCGAGACCCUCUGGACUGCAGGGUUAUUGCUGUACAAGGAAGUUACCAGACAGGAAAUGGCACCAGCACUGCCCGAGCUCCUCAGCUGGACAGGAAGGAAAACCAGUGCUUUAAACUGAGCUGUAGGUACUGGAAUCUAUGCAAUAAAAGCAUGUUAUUUGCAUAUAUAAUUUUCA
This 1776-nucleotide long non-coding RNA is filed under the name Chloebia gouldiae (Gouldian finch). RNAcentral describes it as "Erythrura gouldiae (Gouldian finch) lncRNA (ENSEGOG00005018957.1)". The record is from RNAcentral. Lineage: Eukaryota; Metazoa; Chordata; Aves; Passeriformes; Passeridae.